This 979-nucleotide long non-coding RNA is filed under the name Brassica napus (rape). Its description in RNAcentral is "long non-coding RNA (BNAP_LNC024220)". The record is from RNAcentral. Lineage: Eukaryota; Viridiplantae; Streptophyta; Magnoliopsida; Brassicales; Brassicaceae.
AGGGGAGAAAAAGGGUUUGGUCAACAUCUGGAAUCAAAUAGUCGAGCCACAUCGCUUAAUCACUAUGAGUCACGGUUAAUUGUUUGUUAACGAAUUUUUAAUGCAGGUUUCUGACAUCGGAGACGGCUUCCGAUCUAGGAUAGCCGGACCGGUCUAGGUGUCAGUUUGUGGAUCCGAGGCUUGAGACGAUGUCUAGGAUAUGUGGAUAGCAAGACUAGUCUAAGCACCCGAGUUAUUGUGAUUGUGUGAUUAUUAUAUGUUGUUAUGGUAUGUACCUCGUGUUGGUAUUAUUGUGUGAGAACCUCCUGGUGGUUCUACUAGUAGUUUUCAGGUCAUUGCUUCCUCAAAUGGUACCACUAAACCGGUCGUGGUCCGGAAAGUGGUGGGCUCGGUUUAACUUGGCUUGAUCACCAAGGGCGAGUGUCACAUGUGGAUGUGACAGCCCCCAGCGAGUCCGAUAGAGGACCGGGGCACGGCGAUUCUGAUUGAGGACCGUGACCGGGCGAUUCCCGAGCGCCUACGCCUGUGUGGUGUAAUAGUGAAGGGAUUGCGGUGUGCCUUAUGUGGAGGAAGAAUGAUUCUGAUGGGCCCUAGGAGUAUAUAUAUAUAUAUGGUUGAUUGAUGUGACACUCAUAAAGAGUGUUUUGAUUUAUUAUGGUUUAAUGCUUUAUUGCUUUAAUCGGUUAUGCUUUAUUAUCUAUAUGUGGAUAGCAAGACUAGUCUAAGCACCCGAGUUAUUGUGAUUGUGUGAUUAUUAUAUGUUGUUAUGGUAUGUACCUCGUGUUGGUAUUAUUGUGUGAGAACCUCCUGGUGGUUCUACUAGUAGUUUUCAGGUCAUUGCUUCCUCAAAUGGUACCACUAAACCGGUCGUGGUCCGGAAAGUGGUGGGCUCGGUUUAACUUGGCUUGAUCACCAAGGGCGAGUGUCACAUGUGGAUGUGACAGCCCCCAGCGAGUCCGAUAGAGGACCGGGGCACGGC